AGAGUUUGAUCAUGGCUCAGGAUUAACGCUGGCGGUAUGCCUAACACAUGCAAGUCGAACGGAAUACUAAUUAAGAGAAUCUCACACUAGUGAGAGGUUCUCACGAGUAGUAUUUAGUGGCGGACGGGUGAGUAACACGUUGGAACCUGCCCCGAAGUGGGGAAUAACUGCUCGAAAGAGUAGCUAAUACCCCAUAGUAUCCGGUUUAUCCGGAUUAAAGAUUUAUCGCUUUAGGAGGGGCCUGCGUCUGAUUAGCUAGUUGGUGAGGUGAAAGCUCACCAAGGCGACGAUCAGUAGCUGGUUCGAGAGGAUGACCAGCCACACUGGGACUGAGAUACGGCCCAGACUCCUACGGGAGGCAGCAGUGAGGAAUCUUCCACAAUGGGCGCAAGCCUGAUGGAGCAAUACCGCGUGCAGGAAGACGCUUUUCGGAGUGUAAACUGCUUUUGUCGUCGAAGAUUAUGACUGUAGACGAAGAAUAAGGACCGGCUAACUACGUG
RNAcentral lists this ribosomal RNA (500 nucleotides) under uncultured bacterium. RNAcentral describes it as "bacterial SSU rRNA". It matches the Rfam family "Bacterial small subunit ribosomal RNA", at positions 8 to 507 of the family's 1533-position model. The record is from RNAcentral.